ACAUGGCUCGGAUUGACUUGAUCAUGCCUUCGCUUUUUUCCGCCCCACCUCCGAGGUAGGUGAAGAGGAGCGAGCUCUCAUUUCCGACCUCAGAUCGGACGAGAUUACCCGCUGAAUUUAAGCAUAUCACUAAGCGGAGGAAAAGAAACU
RNAcentral lists this ribosomal RNA (150 nucleotides) under Polystira picta. RNAcentral describes it as "partial 28S ribosomal RNA". The stretch from base 85 to 150 matches the Rfam family "Eukaryotic large subunit ribosomal RNA", at positions 1 to 66 of the family's 3401-position model. The record is from RNAcentral. Lineage: Eukaryota; Metazoa; Mollusca; Gastropoda; Neogastropoda; Turridae.